UACGUAAGGGGGCUAGCGUUGCUCGGAAUUACUGGGCGUAAAGCGCACGUAGGCGGCUUUCUAAGUCGGGGGUGAAAUCCUGGAGCUCAACUCCAGAACUGCCUUCGAUACUGGAGAGCUCGAGUCCGGGAGAGGUGAGUGGAACUGCGAGUGUAGAGGUGAAAUUCGUAGAUAUUCGCAAGAACACCAGUGGCGAAGGCGGCUCACUGGCCCGGUACUGACGCUGAGGUGCGAAAGCGUGGGGAGCAAACAGG
This 254-nucleotide ribosomal RNA is filed under the name uncultured bacterium. RNAcentral's name for it is "partial 16S ribosomal RNA". It matches the Rfam family "Bacterial small subunit ribosomal RNA", at positions 524 to 776 of the family's 1533-position model. The record is from RNAcentral.